Molecule: non-coding RNA, 1418 nt
Organism: Dermacentor andersoni
Lineage: Eukaryota; Metazoa; Arthropoda; Arachnida; Ixodida; Ixodidae
Source: RefSeq, a predicted model, not a curated record
CCCCAUUGGAGAGGUGUAAUUGGAGAAGUUUCCUCGCGCGCCGCGGAGCGGCGCUGUUCUCCCACUCCUGCCGACGGCGCGGCGGCAUGGCACAUGCUUGGAGAAGCGAAUACAUCGGAGCCCUACAACAAGCCCGACAAGAUGCAUUUCUUCUCUGCGACAGAUGGACGCUUGAAUUGGCUUGAGGACGAAUUCCCGCAGUACCUUGAGAGUCUCCACAGUGCCUGCAAAUCAAGUGGAAAAAAAUUCCUAAGCCCAGAAACUUACGAGGCACUGCUGCUCACAAGCAAGUCUUCUGUUCUUUGUAUUAAGUACUUGCUAGAUAGUGGGUUCUUUUAUGUCUUCACGAGAAAUCUGUCAAGUGAUCCGGUUGAGGUCCUGUUCAGUGCUUUGCGUCAAAUGGCGGGUUGCAAUGACUGUCUAGACGCUAGAGCUGUCACCUUCGGCCUUGAAAAGUUACUCCGGACUGGCAUCCUGUGUGCAUCGCAGGCAUCAAAUGUUGGAAAUGGUCAGAUUGUUAUGAGCAUGUACAGUGCUUCUACAUCAACCCAAUUGAGCAGAGUUGAUCCAGCUGUGCCGAGCGGGACAUCUUCAGGACUGGACACAUCGAGCAUUCCUCAGAACACCUCGGCUAAAACCAGUAGUGCACUACUCAGCUUGUCUGAACCACCCGAUAUUGCGGAUGAUCAAAGCAGUGUGUCAGCAGCAACUAGCGAUUUCCUACUUUCAAGCUAGUGCUGUUUCCCCAUGCUUUUGCACCUUUUUCAUGCCGGUCACUAAUAUGUAGUUUCUGUACCGUUUUGUUUUCUAGCAUUUGUGAACCACCGAGUUUCGUGGAUGAUGUCAACAGUUUGCUGGCGCCCUUGAAAGUGAUGCCCUUGCAGCGGCCGCCUUCAACAGUAGAAACCGCUGCAGUAGCAUACGUCGCCGGUUUCGUCGUGAAAGCGAUAGAAGAACAAAGGAUGUGCAGCGCCUGCCCGAGACUGAAUGAUUCGGAACCAUCAAUAUCACCAGUGAUGGGACUUAUUAACCACCGAACUAGAGGAGGUUUGGUGUUCCCAAAGCCCGAGGUUGUAGCUGUUCUUGUAAAAGUAAGGCCAUCGACAUCGCAGUGCCACGUAUUGGCACAAACGAUGUGUGCAAGAAGAUCACGGUAAUGAUUUUGCCGCAUCUGGAGAGUUGUCCUCUAUUUAUAUGCGAGGCAAGAGAAGACCAUGCCUCGGUCACAUCGUCAAUAGUGGCAAAGAAAUUCAUAAAGCCCCUCCUAUCAAACAUUGUUGCUCUUGUUAGGGACAGAGUGGCCUAUCGCAAAAAAUUAAUCACUAAGCCGCUCAGUCGAAAGGUUUUGCGCGUUUAAACAGCUCGAGCGCGCGCGAGCUGACAACUUUUUAUUGUAAAUAAAUUCCUGCAUACACUGA